CUGAUGUGGUUGAGGUACGAAGGAGGAC
This 28-nucleotide non-coding RNA is filed under the name Homo sapiens (human). The record is from RNAcentral. Lineage: Eukaryota; Metazoa; Chordata; Mammalia; Primates; Hominidae.